This is a non-coding RNA of Odocoileus virginianus texanus, 1028 nucleotides long. The record is from RefSeq and is a predicted model, not a curated record. NCBI's taxonomy places the organism in Eukaryota, Metazoa, Chordata, Mammalia, Artiodactyla, Cervidae.
GUAAACGAGCAGCCUCCAGUCACAGAGGUAUGGCAAUGAAUGAUGUACGGCUCCCCGUGACCUAUGGAGUGUAUUUCAGCAGCCACAGGUCUGUUACUACAUAGGUUCUUGCUACUGUAAACAGUGCCACUGUGAAUACUCUUGUGCAUCUCUCCUGUGAUGUUUGAGCAAGGCAUCAUCUGCAUACCUAGGAGUAGACCUGCUAGGUUCUAAGCCUUGCAUGUCUGGGAUACACGCCACUUGACUGAGGUUUUACAUAUGCUUCAUCUGCACAGAUGUAUCAGGUGAGAAAAACUGAAAAUACACAACUUGCCCAAGGGUCUUACAAUUGAUUGUAACAGUGUGCUAAGAACUAGCCGGAGAUAGAAACUGAAGAAAUACUCAGCUUUGCUGUUUAUGGUCCUCAUCCUACAUCCAGCUCUUUAUCAUCAUUUUUGGGCUAGGCCCAGAAAGGUCUUUCACAUAUCCAUGCCCAGGAGCUCCUGACAGUCUCCUGCACAAAGGAGCCCUGUGACAGAAUUCACUUCACAGACGAGGCACGCCAGAUGAGAUCAGGGUGUAUAGUCGUCAUGUGGGACUAGGAGCAUAAAGGGACCUGACUGGAUGGCCCCUCAAAUGUGUAUUCUCAGAUGAUCUCACCAAGCCAGCUCCUACUGGCCUGCUUUUAUAGAUGGCAUUUAAAGCCAUAAGACUGAAUGGAAUCACCUAGGAGCAAGUAAAGACAAAGUAGAAAGAACCAAAGACUGAGGACUGGGAACUCAUAAUUUAAGAUUUGACAUUCAAAAUGAACAAAGGAAGCUGAGGAAGAGACAUCUUUGAAGAAAGAGAAUGAAGAACACAUGGUUCUCCUUAAGUCAAGUUCUGAGUCCAUUCCAAGGAGGAGGGUGAAGUCAUCUAGGUCAAAAGAUGCCAAUGGGUCAAGUAAUGGGAUUGAGAACUGAGCACUGUUCACAGUUCACAACACAAAGGUGAUUAGUAACCUUCGUAUUGUUUGGUAAAAAUCACUGAUGACAGGUUCAAGAAAGAAC